Molecule: long non-coding RNA, 1077 nt
Organism: Triticum dicoccoides
Lineage: Eukaryota; Viridiplantae; Streptophyta; Magnoliopsida; Poales; Poaceae
Exons: 3
Source: RefSeq, a predicted model, not a curated record
CAGCAGGGAGAUGACACGGCAGAGCAUCCCCAGAAAACCCAGAAAUUGUUGAUGAUUUCCGUUUCAAGCAUCCACCUGCGAGAGAGUACCCUCGUAGGAGUGGGACAUUGCAGGCAGAAGCAGCCAGCAGGAGAAGUGUACUGGAAACCACGAGAAAACUACAACAGGCUCCAUCAGUGCCAAGCUGAAGGCAGCGAACUUACGAACUUAGUCAUGCGUCUCAUGGCCUGUGGACCAAGCCACCCUAGCUUUGGCUUUGUUCAAGCCUCCUACAAGCCACAGUUCACGACUUCACGUGGCUUGGGUACCCGUUGUAUCUAGAGCUGCCCCCUCUCGGUGCAAUAAAGCCUGGAACUAGUGCUGCCACUACCAGAGCUUCAGAAAUAGAGAAUUCCAGUGGUGCCACGGGCAAGCUUAAACGCACUUCUUCAUCUCAAUCACCAGGAUAGCAUACGACCCGUUGCAAACACGCUCGUCAAAAGGGGAUUCGGUUAACUUGUCCAGAAGCAUGAGGAUAAGGAUGAACGAUACGUUUUCAGGAAAGAUGCUCUCUUCUUUUCUUUUUUGAGGGGAAAAGAUGCCCUCUUCGAGUGUAGUCUUGUUCGACGCCGAAGAAGAGAAAGUGAUCAAUAUCGACUAAAGGCUUGCUUCAGGAGCUCCUGUCUUCAUCCACUAAUUAGAAACUCGGCUGUUUCGGUGCCAAUGCAAUGAGUUGGGGGCACGGUCCGUUUUGGUUUCACUGUCAACUUUUUUGUUUCCGACCUUUCCUUUUUGGGUGUGCGGUCCCUUUUUCUUUUUGUUUCGCUGUCAAUAAGUGUGCAAGAAAUAACCUUAAGUCCUUGGGGUCGGUUUAGUAGCUAUGACUCUGCUGUUGGCAGUUGUUAGAAAAUGUAUGUGUAUCAGUAAUUUCUUGUCCUUGUACUCCCUCCGUCCGGAAAUACUUGUCCUAAAAAUGGAUAAAAUGGACAUAUCUAUAACUAAAAUAAGUCUAGAUACAACCAUUUCUAGGACAAGUAUUUACGGACAGAGGGAGUAUGUCAUUUCGGUUGUACUAAAUCGGCGACAUUGAUAUGGAUA